AAAUCCGUCGACUUUAUAAGUUGGAGGGUUCAAGUCCCUCUAUCCCCAA
Molecule: transfer RNA, 49 nt
Filed under: Fargesia macclureana
Lineage: Eukaryota; Viridiplantae; Streptophyta; Magnoliopsida; Poales; Poaceae
Description: partial tRNA-Leu
Source: RNAcentral